RNAcentral lists this long non-coding RNA (1065 nucleotides) under Homo sapiens (human). Its description in RNAcentral is "HSALNT0275101". The record is from RNAcentral. Lineage: Eukaryota; Metazoa; Chordata; Mammalia; Primates; Hominidae.
UACAAUCCUAAAGAAACGCGUUCUGACGGCCCCUUCCAGGAGAUUCUGAAUGUAAACAAUUUUUUUUUUUUUUUUUAAGAGACAGGGUUUUGCUUUGUUGCCCAGACUGGAGUGCAGUGCUGCGAUCACAGCUCACUGCAGCCUCAAACUCCUGGGCUCAUGUGAUCCUCCCACCUUAGCCUCCCUAGUAGAUGGAACUACAGGCACGUGCCACUAUGCCCAGCUAAUUUUUAAAAUUUCUUUAUAGAGACGGGGUUUCACCAUCUUGCCCAGGCUAGUUUCAAACUCCUGGGCUCAAAUGAUACACCUGCCUUGGCCUCCCAAAUUGCUGGGAUAACAGGUGUGAAUUUUUUCACACAGUGAAAUUCACUUAGAAUAGACAUAAACACUCCCGAGGUGGUGUUAGGAGAAGGCAAGAGGCAUUAGAUGGGAAAAGCGUCUGUUAAUUGGAAUGUAAGCACCGGCCCUUCUGCAGCACCAGUGGUCGUUGAGUGUGGAGGUCUCUGAACACACCAGAAGCCCUGGGACACUGAGGGAGUCUCCAAGGGCGUGGGUCCGUGGGAGCGUGGGACUGGAGAACACAGGAAGCACAGACAGCAACAGUCUCUCUUCCCAGGGAGGUGAGAGCCCCGCCUUGGACGUGGCACUGUCUGAUAGGUGGAAUCACAGAACUAUGACAUUGGUUUUUAAAUGAAUGGGCCAAGAAGUGACCCUCUUAAAGGAAUGGGGUCAGGGUAAAACACGAGACAAUUAUCUUUGCCAUUCUUCUGUUUGAAGACCACCUCUAGGCAUGGAGCCUCCACGGGGAGAUGAAGGGGGUAGACUGCCAGAUCAAGGACACACGGACAGGGAGGAGGAGCCACAGUCCCCAGGAUUCCCCUCAACAGAAUGACAGCUGCCCAGGAGAAAAGCUGCCUGAAGCUUAGAAAUGAGACAUGGGGGUCAGCCAUUCCUCUGAACUAACACAAAUGGCAAGAUGCCAAACAUACUGCAACCUCUAAGCUAGUGGUUCUCCUGCUCUAGAGGGCAUCAGAACCCACUGGAAGGUCUGUUACAGCAGAUAAC